GACGAACGCUGGCGGCGUGCUUAACACAUGCAGGUCGAACGAUGAUCCGGGUGCUUGCACCUGGGGAUUAGUGGCGAACGGGUGAGUAACACGUGAGUAACCUGCCCUGGACUCUGGGAUAACCCCGAGAAAUCGGAGCUAAUGCCGGAUAGGACCUUUCCUCGCAUGAGGUGGGGUGGAAAGUUUUUUCGGUUUGGGAUGGACUCGCGGCCCAUCAGCUUGUUGGUGAGGUAAUGGCUCACCAAGGCGUCGACGGGUAGCCGGCCUGAGAGGGUGACCGGCCACUCUGGGACUGAGACACGGCCCAGACUCCUACGGGAGGCAGCAGUGGGGAAUAUUGCACAAUGGGCGCAAGCCUGAUGCAGCAACGCCGCGUGCGGGAUGACGGCCUUCGGGUUGUAAACCGCUUUUAGUAGGGAAGAAGCCUCUUGGGGUGACGGUACCUGCAGAAAAAGGACCGGCUAACUACGUGCCAGCAGCCGCCGUAA
Molecule: ribosomal RNA, 488 nt
Filed under: uncultured bacterium
Lineage: Bacteria
Description: partial 16S ribosomal RNA
Rfam family: Bacterial small subunit ribosomal RNA
Source: RNAcentral